Molecule: long non-coding RNA, 202 nt
Filed under: Homo sapiens (human)
Lineage: Eukaryota; Metazoa; Chordata; Mammalia; Primates; Hominidae
Description: non-protein coding lnc-EDIL3-9:1
Source: RNAcentral
AUCCUCAUAAGAUUCAGAAAAUAGGCCACCAGAGUUGUUGUCUAUUCAUGGUCAUCUCAUUCCCAAGAUACCUGAUUUCUCAUGGAAUCCCAAUGAACUUGGAUGAUUUGUCCUGUAUUACAAGACAAUGUCCUGCAAGUAGUGUGGCAAAUAUUAGAGAUCAUUUAUAGUGAUGAAGACCUUGAAGGAAGCAUAGAUUCAG